AUGGAAUUUUCCUGGCAAGGAUACUGGAGUGGGUUGCCAUUUCCUCCUUCAGGGGCUCUUCCCUACCCAGGGAUCUUCCCUACCCAGGGAUCGAACCCUGGUCUCCUGCACUGCAGGCAGACUCUACCGCAUGAGCCACUAGGGAAAUUCCUCAGAGGCUGUGGAACGUUCUGGCAGGGGCAGAGCCCCUCCCCCGCACUGCCUCCUGCACAACAGCGGGGCGGAAGGAGCAGAGAGGGAGGGAGGCCUCUGAUUGGAGGAGGCUUGGUGAGAGGGCGGGGCGGUGGGCGUGUCCAACGGCCCCUGAAAAAGUCGUUGGGAUCCGUUAAGUUCCAGCGGCACCUCGCUCAUUUUUCUCUAAGGUGGCAUGAAGCUGACUUAGUUGGAGAACGGGCUUAUGGGGAUCUCCCCUUUCAGGAAGAUGAGAACUGCUAUAAGGAUUCAGGAAAACCCCUGAGGCCCAGGAUGUGGAGAACUGAGCGCCCCGUCCCUCACCGCCGAUUCCAUUCUUCCAUCCCAAGGAGGAGAGCCACUCGAAUGUCCUGAAAGACACUGGGACUCCGAGGACAGGAUGGGUCAGUCAAGCCAUAACAGAGCAUGGAGCCAGUUCCUUUGUCCACCCUGUCAUCUUCUAGGAACUAGGAAGCACCCUUCCUGGGUCCCUGCCCCAGUGGACUUCUCCAGUUCUUCCUUCCCAGCCGUUGCUGUGGCAUUAGCCAUCUGGAAAAAGAGCUGCUGGUAGGACCUGGGACUUUUGUUCACACCCAUAAGCCUUCCCUCCAGAUAUCCAGUACUUUGCCUUCAGGAAGGAGACUUGAACUUCAGGCAACAGGAGAAAACCAAACCUUCAAGGGCUUUGGUUCCCUCCAAGGCCAAGGUUCCCAAGAUCCUUGGUUAAGAGGUCUGGGCCACUGCCCUCCCGUCUUCACUCUUCUUUUCCCUGUUUGUCCCAGAGUUCUGCUAUAACCCCAAAGCUUUUCUGUUUACCAUCAACAUGGAAACUUGACUCUUCAUAUAGGUAUAUUUUCCCUCUUUUGUGCAUCAUCUUGUUCCCAAAAACUGCCUUUUCAUGAAGGAGGCUUGUGGGACUCAAGGGGCCUGGCCAGUCACCCAGGCUCCCCCGAAGCCUCAGACCACUGGUAAUGUGGAGAAGUUUAAUAAAGAUGUCAUUACUUCUUGACUUGU
Molecule: transfer RNA, 1185 nt
Filed under: Bos indicus x Bos taurus (hybrid cattle)
Lineage: Eukaryota; Metazoa; Chordata; Mammalia; Artiodactyla; Bovidae
Description: lncRNA (ENSBIXG00005009793.1)
Source: RNAcentral